CUGUGGAUAUACAACUUAUAUUUCUUAUGUUUGUAAUCGUCUAUUUUCACAUGGUUUGGGUAUGUUUGGUUGUCUUAAGCUGUUGGUGAUAUUUCAUUUUUCCUUGAAAUGUUGAAUUUCUCGAUAUAGUGUAUAUAGACAAUAUAAAAGCCUACUAGAACCAGAAAAGUACCUCUCUCUAUUAACAAGUCAAAAACAACGAAAUAUAAUGAUAAGACUUAGGUGUGGAAUUUUAAAAUUAAAAGUUAACGAGGGAAGGUGGUUGGGAAUUGAAUUAAGUCAGCGAUUAUGUCAAUUGUGUAAAAAAGGAAUUGAAGAAGAGUAUCAUUUUAUCCUUGUAUGUAAACACUAUAGAAAUUGAAGACAGCGUUAUCUACCAUAUAUGUACCACCACAGUGUAAAUAUUCCCAAAUUUAGACAGCUAAUGAAUUCAAAGUGUUGUGAUGUAUUAAAUAAUUUAUGUCGAUAUGUUUGUCAAAGUUCAAUCUUAAAUGUUAGAAAUCUGUAACAUAUAUAAAACAUCAUUGUAUAUUGUACAUUGUAUGUAAUUAAUGCUCGAUGUAAACGUACUAUGUGUAUAUGGGCCAAUGGCCUUCAUUCAAAUAAACAACUUGACUUGACAUAUUGCCUAGAUAACCCUCUCUAGUUUCAAGU
Long non-coding RNA from Haliotis rubra (blacklip abalone), 654 nucleotides. RefSeq lists it as uncharacterized. The record is from RefSeq and is a predicted model, not a curated record. Lineage: Eukaryota; Metazoa; Mollusca; Gastropoda; Lepetellida; Haliotidae. The transcript has 5 exons.